GGCAGCACGGGGGCAACCCUGGUGGCGAGUGGCGAACGGGUGAGUAAUACAUCGGAAUGUACCCAGUAGUGGGGGAUAACGUACCGAAAGGUACGCUAAUACCGCAUACGACCUACGGGUGAAAGCGGGGGAUCGCAAGACCUCGCGCUAUUGGAGCAGCCGAUGGCCGAUUAGCUAGUUGGUGAGGUAAAGGCUCACCAAGGCGACGAUCGGUAGCUGGUCUGAGAGGACGAUCAGCCACACUGGGACUGAGACACGGCCCAGACUCCUACGGGAGGCAGCAGUGGGGAAUUUUGGACAAUGGGCGAAAGCCUGAUCCAGCAAUGCCGCGUGUGUGAAGAAGGCCUUCGGGUUGUAAAGCACUUUUGUCAGGAAAGAAAUCCCUAGGGCUAAUACCUCAAGGGGAUGACGGUACCUGAAGAAUAAGCACCGGCUAACUACGUGCCAGCAGCCGCGGUAAUACGUAGGGUGCAAGCGUUAAUCGGAAUUACUGGGCGUAAAGCGUGCGCAGGCGGUUUCGUAAGACAGAUGUGAAAUCCCCGGGCUCAACCUGGGAACUGCAUUUGUGACUGCGAGGCUAGAGUGUGUCAGAGGGAGGUGGAAUUCCGCGUGUAGCAGUGAAAUGCGUAGAGAUGCGGAGGAACACCGAUGGCGAAGGC
This 659-nucleotide ribosomal RNA is filed under the name uncultured beta proteobacterium. RNAcentral describes it as "bacterial SSU rRNA". It matches the Rfam family "Bacterial small subunit ribosomal RNA", at positions 68 to 722 of the family's 1533-position model. Lineage: Bacteria; Pseudomonadati; Pseudomonadota; Betaproteobacteria. The record is from RNAcentral.